AGUGGUUUAGGCGUCUGCAUUGAGAACCGAAGGGCCCCGGUUCGAUGCUCGACGGCGGUACUAACACUGAUCGGCGUAUGUGUCCUUGGGCAAGACACUUAACGGACAUUGCUCCAACCCAGUGGUCACUUAUGGGUUGUCCAAAUUACAGUCAUACACAGGAAAAAACAAACAAUUACCCACAAAGUUGCAUAUAUGUGGUGACUCGCUGCCCAGACGAGGAUAAACCUUCUGUGGAAGUGCGUCCGGUUGUGACGUUGUUAGUACGAGUGUAGUUCUCGAAUGAUGUUCGCGAAUCGUGUGAAAAUAGUCCGCAGAUGGAGUCCUAUAUAUACGGGUCAAGAAUCGGGACAAAAAACGGAACUUGGUCGGACCGGAGAACGAGUUCGCAGAAAUAGUCUGCAGAUGGAGUCCUACGGGUCAAGAAUCGGGACAAAAAACGGGACUUGGUCAGAACGGAGAACGAGUUCGCAGAAAUAGUCUGCAGAUGGAGUCCUAUAUAUACGGGUCAAGAAUCGGGACAAAAAACGGGACUUGAUCGGAACACUGGAGUCGGAACAUGAUAACAAGAACUUCACUACCGCGAGCACGUCACUUCCGGACGUACAAGGGUGUUGGGGUAAUGGGCCAAGUCUGGCCUAAAUCCCAGGUCCUCACAGACCUCAUCCAUACAGAA
Molecule: non-coding RNA, 676 nt
Organism: Ciona intestinalis (vase tunicate)
Lineage: Eukaryota; Metazoa; Chordata; Ascidiacea; Phlebobranchia; Cionidae
Source: RefSeq, a predicted model, not a curated record